CGCCUGUUUAUCAAAAACAUGUCUUUUCGUUAAUUAUUUAAGGUUUGGCCUGCUCCAUGACUAAGUUAAAUAGCCGCAGUAUUUUGACUGUGCAAAGGUAGCAUAAUCAUUAGUUUUUUAAUUGAAAGCUGGAAUGAAGGGUCGGAUGAGAAAGAAUCUGUCUCAUUCUAAUUUAUUUGAAUUUUAUUUUUAAGUUAAAAAGCUUAAAUUUUAUAGAAAGACGAGAAGACCCUAUAGAGUUUAAUAAGUUAAGAUUUGAUUAUCUGAGGAUUUUAAUGUAAUUAUUUUUUGACUUGUUUUGUUGGGGUGACAUUAGAAUUGGAUAAACUUCUUAAUAUUUAAACAUUGAUUUAUGAGCUAAUGAUCCUGAUUUUUGGAUUUAAAGAUUAAAUUACCUUAGGGAUAACAGCGUAAUCUUUUUGGAGAGUUCUAAUCGAUAAAAGGGAUUGCGACCUCGAUGUUGGAUUAAAGUUAAGUUUCGGUGUAGGAGCUGAAAUUUUGAGACUGUUCGACUUUUAAAACUUUACGUGAUCUGAGUUUACACCGG
This 547-nucleotide ribosomal RNA is filed under the name Meloe proscarabaeus. RNAcentral describes it as "partial 16S ribosomal RNA". It matches the Rfam family "Bacterial large subunit ribosomal RNA", at positions 1797 to 2619 of the family's 2925-position model. The record is from RNAcentral. Lineage: Eukaryota; Metazoa; Arthropoda; Insecta; Coleoptera; Meloidae.